This is a long non-coding RNA of Vidua chalybeata, 394 nucleotides long. RefSeq lists it as uncharacterized. The record is from RefSeq and is a predicted model, not a curated record. Lineage: Eukaryota; Metazoa; Chordata; Aves; Passeriformes; Viduidae. The transcript is spliced from 3 exons.
CAGUAAAAAUGAGCCCAGCUUUCCUACAGGGUGCAUGGCAAAACUGUCAGCAAACCCAGGGAACAGUCUUAACUUUAUUUAAAUAAUGGUCUGUGACAAAGAACUGCUCCAUUGUUCCAGAGUAAGUGCUGACCCAUCUCCCUGGGCUCAGAAGAGGAAGUUUCUUGGCUGUUUCAUCCUGCACAGACCCACGCAUGCAGACAAGCAAAAUAAACUGAACCCAAGGGCUUGAUGGAGGCACGCUGAGGAAGUGUCUCGAGCAAAAACUGCUGAGAAGGGCCUAACACUGGAAAAACACCAGUGUGAGUCACUUAUUUAAUAAUCAUUUAAGAUAUCCAAUACAUAAUUCAACAGAAUUUGAGGAUCCUGGCUGGAACCAGGACCAAGCAGUCAA